RNAcentral lists this ribosomal RNA (247 nucleotides) under uncultured bacterium. Its description in RNAcentral is "partial 16S ribosomal RNA". It matches the Rfam family "Bacterial small subunit ribosomal RNA", at positions 15 to 253 of the family's 1533-position model. The record is from RNAcentral.
GAUCCUGGCUCAGGAUGAACGCUGGCGGCGUGCCUAACACAUGCAAGUCGAACGGAAUUUACAUGAAGCCUAGCGAUUGUAAAUUUAGUGGCGGACGGGUGAGUAACGCGUGGGUAACCUGCCUUGUACUGGGGGACGAACAGUUGGAAACGACUGCUAAUACCGCAUAAGCGCACAGCUUCGCAUGAAGCAGUGUGAAAAACUACCGGUGGUACAAGAUGGACCCGCGUCUGAUUAGCUGGUUGGG